CCAAGGCGCGGUUGCACGUGCCUGUAGUCCCAUCUACUCGGGAGGCUGAGGCUGGAGGAUUUCUUGAGUCCAGGAGUUUGGGGCGGUAGUGUGGUAUGCCAAUCAGGUGUCUGCACUAAGUUUGGCAUCAAUAUGGUGACCUCCUGGGAACAGGGGACCACCAGGUUGCCUAAGGAGGGGUGAACUGGCCCAGGUUGGAAUAGCAGAUCAAAACUCCCGUGCUGAUCAGUAGUGGGAUCGCGCCUGUGAAUAGCCACUGCACUCCAGCCUGGGCAACAUAGCGAGACUCCGUCUCU
RNAcentral lists this signal recognition particle RNA (296 nucleotides) under Saimiri boliviensis boliviensis (Bolivian squirrel monkey). Its description in RNAcentral is "Metazoan signal recognition particle RNA (ENSSBOG00000009980.1)". It matches the Rfam family "Metazoan signal recognition particle RNA". From Rfam's summary of the family: The signal recognition particle (SRP) is a universally conserved ribonucleoprotein. It is involved in the co-translational targeting of proteins to membranes. The eukaryotic SRP consists of a 300-nucleotide 7S RNA and six proteins: SRPs 72, 68, 54, 19, 14, and 9. The record is from RNAcentral. Lineage: Eukaryota; Metazoa; Chordata; Mammalia; Primates; Cebidae.